RNAcentral lists this ribosomal RNA (800 nucleotides) under uncultured soil bacterium. RNAcentral's name for it is "bacterial SSU rRNA". It matches the Rfam family "Bacterial small subunit ribosomal RNA", at positions 10 to 807 of the family's 1533-position model. The record is from RNAcentral.
AGUUUGAUCCUGGCUCAGGAUGAAGGGACCAGCAGGCCUAAUACAUGCAAGACGAACGGUAAGUUUGAAAGCAAUAUUGAACCUAGAGUGUCGUAAGGGUGCGUAACACGUAUGCAAUCUGCCCUCAACAGGAGAAUAGCUCCCCGAAAGGGGAAUUAACACUCCGUAAGAUCACAUAAUGGCAUCAUUGAGUGAUUAAAACUACGGUGGUUGAGGAUGAGCAUGCGCAUGAUUAGUUAGUUGGCGGGGUAACGGCCCACCAAGACGAUGAUCAUUAGGGGAACUGAGAGGUUGAUCCCCCACACUGGCACUGAGAUACGGGCCAGACUCCUACGGGAGGCAGCAGUAGGGAAUAUUGGACAAUGGGUGCGAGCCUGAUCCAGCCAUGCCGCGUGCAGGAAGACGGCCUUCUGGGUUGUAAACUGCUUUUGCCAGGGGAUAAAAAGUCCCUGCGGGGAAAAUUGAAGGUACCUGGUGAAUAAGCCACGGCUAACUACGUGCCAGCAGCCGCGGUAAUACGUAGGUGGCAAGCGUUGUCCGGAUUUAUUGGGUUUAAAGGGUGCGUAGGUGGUCUUGUAAGUCAGUGGUGAAAUCCGGCAGCUUAACUGUCGAUGUGCCAUUGAUACUGUGAGACUUGAGUACAGACGAGGUAGGCGGAAUUGACGGUGUAGCGGUGAAAUGCUUAGAUAUCGUCAAGAACACCGAUAGCGAAGGCAGCUUACUAGACUGUAACUGACACUGAUGCACGAAAGUGUGGGGAUCAAACAGGAUUAGAUACCCUGGUAGUCCACACUGUAAAC